AUCCAACUGACGAGCCCCAAAUAGGACGAAACGCGUGUCCUGGAU
Molecule: non-coding RNA, 45 nt
Filed under: Schistosoma curassoni
Lineage: Eukaryota; Metazoa; Platyhelminthes; Trematoda; Strigeidida; Schistosomatidae
Source: RNAcentral